This 1734-nucleotide long non-coding RNA is filed under the name Theobroma cacao (cacao). RNAcentral's name for it is "long non-coding RNA (TCAC_LNC003261)". The record is from RNAcentral. Lineage: Eukaryota; Viridiplantae; Streptophyta; Magnoliopsida; Malvales; Malvaceae.
AAAGAGAAACAAGAAAAUUCAAAGGGAAAUUCACGUUUUUCGCCCGUUUAUGCGUCUAACGGUAAGAUUUUUUGAUUUUAGCUUGAUUUCUACCUUUCCUAUGCCUUUAUUUCCAUUUAGCAUGCUUGAGGAGAGAGAUCAAAAAGUAAUAUCAAGGGCUGGAUGAAAUUCUAGGGGAGAGAAAUUGGAAUUUUUAGGUUUUGAUUUUUAGUUAAAUUGAUAGUUUUAGUUAGUUAAAUGUGUUUAGAAAUUAAAUUGGGCAAGAAAUCAUUAAAUUUUCACAAUACCCACCCUUGACUGGAUGCUCAAUGCUGUACAAUGAUGAUGAAUUGAUUUUAUUCUAAGGAAAAUGAAGAGAAAAUGAUGAAAAACGAUUAAACGUGAUAGAAAAACAAAGUAGAAAAUUAACCGAGUUAAUGUCCCAUUUUUGGCCGAAUUUUCCAAGGAAGGGAGUGAGCUGAUUUUGUUGUUUUUAGAAGGUUAUUGGCUGAUAUUUAAUGGUUAGAAAUGUUGGAGAGAGAAUGGGAUGAUUUAGAGCUAAAAUGGAGCGCGUUAGCAAUUUAUCGGGCAAAGUGCCAAAAAUAGGUUAAUACCGCGUUUAAGCCGUUUUAGGCUAUUGCAUUUCAUACCAUGCAUUAGUAUAGGAUUUAAGUUAAUUAUAUAGUGAUUUAGCAUCAAUGUGAUGAAUUGUGUAAAUUUUUGUAAUGUGUCUAGGAGGAGAGCCUUCCGGAAAAGGCAAAGAAGUCGUACCCGACGAGUAGUGAUCGGGGCGCUUAGAAAGCUUUUAGUUUGUACAAACGGUGAGUAAACUUAUUAUUAUUGUAAAUUAUCUAGAGUUUAUUUUUAAAUGCCCUUUAUGUAUUUUAUGAAAUGAAAACGAGAUUAAAACGGGAUUUUUUAUGUUUUAGGAAUAAAUGUGACAAAUAAAAAUAUAUUGUAUUGAUUAUGAAAUUGAGUAAUUGGAGGCUGCAAAUUGACUUGAAAAAUAUAUAUUUUCCUAGGAAUGGCUUAUGAGAAAUGAGUAUAUGUGGCUAUAUUUUGUGAGUGCAUUGGGAAAUUUAUGUAAGUUGUUUUUACUAUGCAGGCUGGAUAAAUAAAUAAAAGCCACGUUAUACUGUCGAAAUUUUAUUAAAAUUGGUGGGUUAGUCACUGCAGUGACGGGUUUCCGUGGACUGCCUAUUAGAGGGGCACGGUAAACCCAGUUAUAUAGUUACUCCGGUUGUAGAGGCGAGGAGGGUAACUCCCGGGGUAGUAUUAGAGCUCACUUCACGUCGAACCCCCACGUGAAUGUGUAACUCGGCCAACGCCAAGGAACGGCUGGUUUUAAAAAUAAAAAUGUGUUUCACGUGUGAAUAUUUUAACACCCUUGGCGGACUCGGUUAGAUGCCUCGGCCAAGGUAUCCCCGAGGAUUAGUUUUGGCUUGAGCCUUGUUUUAAUAAAAGACAUAAGCCUUAACAACUGUUUUGGUAAAUUACAAAUAUUUUAUGGUUUAAGAAAUAAAUUGAAAACAUUAUGAAAUGGGUUGAAAUUUGUUGUUUAAACUUGCCUCCAUUUUACUCGCCUUUAGAUAUUUAUGAUAAUGUCUGUUUACUCAUUGGGAUUGCAAAAUCUCACCCAACUCCUUUCCACCCAUUUCAGGUUCAGUAUAGACUGUAGAUAGCUGAUCUCAUCGAGGACUACCAUUGGAUCUGCAUUUUCCAAACCGUAGGUUCACAGUCCUCUUUACUUUUGUU